AGAUGCCCCUCCUGUCAAAAAUAACGAUUUAUCGAUACCACGCCCCAUGCCCCCCUGAUAUGAUCCGAUUUUCUAUGAUAUCCAUACAGUCAAGAUUUGAUUGAUUAGUUUUACCUUUUGGACUCUGCUAUGGUUUGGUUGGUGAGGGAGAAGGGUAUGGGGAAAGGGUGGGGGUUGUGGCUGCUGCAGACAUCAUGUUCAUCAGGGAGGGGGGGAGUACCCCCGUCACUUAGUUUUUAGAGUGUGGGAUGUGGCAGGACAGGUGUGGGUAGCCUGUGGAGCGCGGGUCCUGUGGUAAACGGUAAAUUUCCCACAAGGAUAAUGUUUUAUGUCUUUUCUUUCUCUGAAUACAGCCACAGCCCUAAAGUGUUUCAACAAACAACUUGAUUAGAGUCUAUUUCAUAAUAUUACUCGCAUUUUAAGCCUUUAAAAAGGGGUUUAAGUGGAGAUUGCACACGUUAGAUACCAUAUAAGUGUGUAUAAAACAUAUUGAAUAAUUACACUGAUCUUCAUAAAAUGUAUUAAAAAUAUUUUUAGCUAAAGCUUACAUUGACAUCACGUGUUGGUACAAAUGGAUGUUUAUGGUGUGCUCUAGCUUCUGUGAAUCCAUGCAGAAGGCACAGGCAUCCCUGCUUUUCCAACGGUGCGAGUGCGCUGAUGGUUUGAAGGCACAGGCAUCCCUGCUUUUCCAACGGUGCGAGUGCGCUGAUGGUUUGAAGGCACAGGCAUCCCUGCUUUUCCAACGGGGCGAGUGCGCUGAUGGUUUUAUAAAUGAAAAGAUAAUAGGGAUAAUAGGGUUUUUUUUUUUAUACACCCCAUGUCAGAAAGAAAACAUGGGGAUACUAGCUACUUCAUUUUUAAGUCUUUAAAAAGGUUUAAAAUUGUGCACGUUAGGUGCUAUAUAGAUGUGUUUGGUAUCUAUAGGUUGCAAAAUAUUUGAACGAGGUCAAAAUCUUAUUGAAUAAUUAUACAGGAUUUUGUAAAGCAGUGUAUUUCAAACUACUGUUUAUAACUAAAUAUUUUAUUUUUCAUUGAGACACCGCCCUAAAAGUGUCAAGGGUGGGGGUUUGGGGUUACACACCAUCCAUAAAUUAGGCCCCAGGACCCUUUACUUUGGAGAGAAGCAAGAAUGGCUGGAGUCGACUUUUACUCUGCAUCAUGUGAGUACCCACAUUUAUUUGAGGUUCUUUUUCUAAUUCUCUGAAAUAAAUACACUUAACGCAAAAGCCUGUUAAAGCUAAAGUUUUUUAAAAGUUUUUUUUUUAAACAGAUACGCCCAGCACUCAAGUCAUGAACGAAGUUCUAGAGAUCUUGACAACUGAUGAAGAGCUGGUGCCAAGUCUACCAACGAAUCCACAAACACCAGAGCAAGUGCGGAUCAAUCCUGCCGAGGAGAGCGCAAGCUUAUCGACACCUACACUUAUUUGGCCAGAAGAACCAGAAAAAACUUUUGAAGAGGGGAAAAAGUC
Anguilla rostrata (American eel) is the source of this 1469-nucleotide long non-coding RNA. RefSeq lists it as uncharacterized. The transcript is spliced from 3 exons. Lineage: Eukaryota; Metazoa; Chordata; Actinopteri; Anguilliformes; Anguillidae. The record is from RefSeq and is a predicted model, not a curated record.